RNAcentral lists this non-coding RNA (26 nucleotides) under Homo sapiens (human). The record is from RNAcentral. Lineage: Eukaryota; Metazoa; Chordata; Mammalia; Primates; Hominidae.
UGCCUGAUGAUCUGAGAUGGAACGGU